Molecule: transfer RNA, 29 nt
Filed under: Phrynocephalus guttatus guttatus
Lineage: Eukaryota; Metazoa; Chordata; Lepidosauria; Squamata; Agamidae
Description: partial tRNA-Tyr
Source: RNAcentral
ACUUAUGGGGUGGUAAACUCCUCUUAUCA